ACUUGCACAUUCAUCUUCUGCACAUCUACAGUCGUGGCCAAAAGUUUUGAGAAUGACACAAAUAUAAAUUUUCACAAAGUCUGCUGCUUCAGUGUCUUUAGAUGUUUUUGUCAGAUGAGUCACUGGCUUACUGGGGCUCUCUCAUGCCGUCCCUGGGGGGGGGGUGCGUCACCUGGGUGGGUUGAUUCACUGUUGUGGUCAGCCUGUCUGGGUUGGCGCCCCCCCCUUGGGUUGUGCCGUGGCGGAGAUCUUUGUGGGCUAUACUCGGCCUUGUCUCAGGAUGGACCUGAGCCCUAGGACCAUGCCCCAGGACUACCUGACAUGAUGACUCCUUGCUGUCCCCAGUCCACCUGGCCAUGCUGCUGCUCCAGUUUCAACUGGCCUGGGCCCUAGGACCAUGUCCCAGGACUACCUGACAUGAUGACUCCUUGCUGUCCCCAGUCCACCUGGCCAUGCUGCUGCUCCAGUUUCAACUGUUCUGCCUUACUAUUAUUCAACCAUGCUGGUCAUUUAUGAACAUUUGAACAUCUUUGCCACGUUCUGUUAUAAUCUCCACCCGGCACAGCCAGAAGAGGACUGGCCACCCCACAUAUGCUCUCUCUAAUUCUCUCUUUCUUUCUCUCUCUCGGAGGACCUGAGCCCUAGGACCGUGCCCCAGGACUACCUGACAUGAUGACUCCUUGCUGUCCCCAGUCCACCUGACUGUGCUGCUGCUCCAGUUUCAACUGUUCUGCCUUAUUAUUAUUCGACCAUGCUGGUCAUUUAUGAACAUUUGAACAUCUUGGUCAUGUUCUGUUAUAAUCUCUACCCGGCACAGCCAGAAGAGGACUGGCCACCCCACAUAGCCUGGUUCCUCUCUAGGUUUCUUCCUAGGUUUUGGCCUUUCUAGGGAGUUUUUCCUAGCCACCGUGCUUUUACACCUGCAUUGUUUGCUGUUUGGGGGUUUUAGGCUGGGUUUCUGUACAGCACUUUGAGAUAUCAGCUGAUGUACGAAGGGCUAUAUAAAUAAAUUUGAUUUGAUUUGAU
Oncorhynchus nerka (sockeye salmon) is the source of this 1026-nucleotide long non-coding RNA. RefSeq lists it as uncharacterized. The transcript has 2 exons. Lineage: Eukaryota; Metazoa; Chordata; Actinopteri; Salmoniformes; Salmonidae. The record is from RefSeq and is a predicted model, not a curated record.